GAAAAGAAAAAACUUUUGAGGGAAAAUGAACGAAACGUUUCAGCAAUCGGAAACUCACGUGGCGGUGUCUUGUUGGUUCAUCUACAUGGACAGUUAGAAGGCGAUUUGUUCCUCGGUAAUUUUGAUCAAGCAUUUGAUCAAAGUUUGAAGAAUUUACUUCCUGGUGACGGAUGCCUCUUCACUGACGCAUAUGUGAGAGAAUGGCUUCAUAUAAAGGAUGAUUAUAGGAGUUUUUUGACUUCGUAGCGUUGACUAUAUCUAACUCUGUAAGUGUAUCCACAGUUGAAUAUAAUACCAAAGUGUCUUCUGAUCACCAAGUAGAAAGACCAACAGCUUCAAAUCUUUUACACAUACUGACAAAAACACCAAAAAAGCAUCGUGACUGCUCCAGUGAUUAAUGGAAUUCCAACCGACCUGCAAGGAUUGCAUGAAAACAGAAGUACACAGCUGAAGGUUUUCUAUGGAAGUCAAUUCGAGAAUAAACCUGAAGAACUGGCUAACUACAUAUGGAAGCAUUUGCGCUUUCAAGAGUAUAUGAGCUGCAUGUCGAAAAUUGAGGGUGGAGGCUCAUAUUACGUUGGCAUACAGGAAGAAAACGUCACUGGUUCAUCUUCAAAACUCCCAGUUAUAAAAGGAAUUAAUUUGAAGGUUAGCCAAGACAGUCUUGAGAAGAGUUUAUUAGACAAAUUAAGCACCGUGAUCAUUCUGGGAAUUGUCGGUUCUGUCGGUGCUGCACAAGAUCUCAUAGAAGUACGUUUUCAUGAUGUUUGAAACUCGGAAAUAGUUUUAGAAAUCGCAGUUCGGUUUGUUGCUGGAGUUGUCGUUUAUGACUGUGGACCAGAAGCUGAUGAGACUGUUGACGGUGGGAAAAAAGGAAUUACUAAAAUGCGGUUUGAUAGGUGGUUGGAGAAAUUCAAAAGCGUUUGAGUAUCAUAAACACACAAUUUAUGUUAUGAACAUACCUAAGUGAAAACGUCAUGGCAUCUGAAAGAAGUUCGAGUGUCAGCUCAACAUACCUCUCAUAUUCAUCAGCUGGAAAUAUUGUUUGGUCAUUAACUGAUUUAGAUGAUUCAUUCUCCUCUGGAAAAACAACGCCCAAUGACGAUAAAGGUGAAGAAAAAUAUUAUAAAGUGUUUCAGAUAAGCGAGAAAGCAGACUUCCUUCGUGAUGUGAACAGAGAUGAAUCAUAUGACACAUUGAUAGAGGAUAUCUUAUCAAAAGUAGCAGGUAAUGGGUUGGUUAUAUACCCCCCAUCUCAUAAAUACUCUGACGCAGCUGUGAGCCAUGUGAGAAAAAUACUCAUAUGUCCAGAUACAUUUUGGGAACGUGCAUUUGUGUAUACUCAAAGUGUUUACUGGUUACACUUAACGAAGACACAGAAACUGAGAAAGCAAAGGUGCCCCGGUGUUUAGAUCGAGAUGUAUGCAUUUUCACAGAGAACUAUCCUCCAAUCGUAUUUAGUCUCA
Molecule: long non-coding RNA, 1466 nt
Organism: Haliotis rubra (blacklip abalone)
Lineage: Eukaryota; Metazoa; Mollusca; Gastropoda; Lepetellida; Haliotidae
Exons: 3
Source: RefSeq, a predicted model, not a curated record